Molecule: long non-coding RNA, 303 nt
Organism: Octopus bimaculoides (California two-spot octopus)
Lineage: Eukaryota; Metazoa; Mollusca; Cephalopoda; Octopoda; Octopodidae
Source: RefSeq, a predicted model, not a curated record
UUAUUUUUUCCGUAAGCAACGAAUGUAUAAUUUUAAACAUUGAUUUUCAGUGGUUAUUUUCCUCUGAUGAACUAAUCAUUUGACUGCGGCCAUGAUAGAGUACCGCUUUUCUGUUGAACAAAUCGACCACAGGACUUAUUCUUUAUAAGCCUAGUACUUAUUCUAACAGAGUCUUUUUGCCGAAUCACUAAGUUACGAGGACGUAAACACCAACAUUGGUUGUCAAGCGAUGGUGCGGGGACAAAUUAAUAAUGAUAUAUUUAUAUAUAUAUAUAUAUAUAAAACGAAGAAUUUGUGUCUGUA